Macaca mulatta (Rhesus monkey) is the source of this 967-nucleotide non-coding RNA. NCBI's taxonomy places the organism in Eukaryota, Metazoa, Chordata, Mammalia, Primates, Cercopithecidae. The record is from RefSeq and is a predicted model, not a curated record.
GGAAGAAACCAAAGCAAGCCGUGGUGAAGAAGGAACGUUUUCUAAAGCCUCUUUUAUACCCAGGAUGGUUGAGAAGUCAGAGGCCUGCAAUGCUAAGAAGAGAGGGUCUAAAAUGAAUAUCACAGAGCAACAGAGAAAAUGUGGAUCACUCCAACUCUAGCACAAGGUCGGGGAGGAAAAAAAUCAGAGAGUUUGGAAUUUCUAAGUGCUGGUGUUUGAGAAAUGGGGAGCAUCACAAACUAACAGCAGAGGUGGAUCUUUUUUACUGAGUGAUGGAACAGCACUCGUCAAAUGCAAAUAACAAUUGUACAUAGAAGUGCUGCUGGACGUUUGCCUUCCACCACUUCUACUAUUGGGGAAAAUAAGUGAAGAACCUACAGAGGAUAAGAAGAGUGGUCCCAUUUGCAGAAGAAAUGUCCAUCUCUUGUCUAGCAUGGCUCAAGACCAGCCUGGCACAGUACAACAUCAACACAUGAUGUAAGGCAAGAGAGGAGACGGAUCUGAAGAGUCACGGGGUAAAGGAGAGCAAAGAUGUUGAAAGCUCUGGGUGCAGAUGGUCAAGGCCACCCCAUAGCCUGACCCAUGGUGUAGAGCCUGUGGAGGAAGUAGAAUGACAGCUGUAGGUAGAGGACACCUUGUGCCAUCCUGGUUCCUCCAUACACUGGAGGUGGCACCACAGUCUAAAGAGCUAUUAUACCAGCUCAUGUGUGUGGCUCAAGCCCAGGGAUUGGCAGAGUCCUGAAUUGUUCUGUGUCCCUCCAAAGUCAGGGUCACUGUCACCCUAAGUCAGCAUGUCAGCACCAUUCCAGAGGCCCAAUUUUAUCCAAUCUUUCACAGUCUCAUAUAAAAAGUAUUAUCCUGGACAGCAGUGCCUUUCCUCCUAGAGGUUCUUUGGGAAUUUGGUUUACCCCAUGCAUUAGGCAGAGAAUAAUUUAUUAUUAUUAUUAUUAUUAUUUUAAGCAACAGG